Molecule: ribosomal RNA, 822 nt
Filed under: uncultured bacterium
Lineage: Bacteria
Description: bacterial SSU rRNA
Rfam family: Bacterial small subunit ribosomal RNA
Source: RNAcentral
GAACGGGUGAGUAACACGUGGGUGAUCUGCCCUGCACUUUGGGAUAAGCCUGGGAAACUGGGUCUAAUACCGAAUAGGACCACGCGCUUCAUGGUGUGUGGUGGAAAGCUUUUGCGGUGUGGGAUGGGCCCGCGGCCUAUCAGCUUGUUGGUGGGGUAAUGGCCUACCAAGGCGACGACGGGUAGCCGGCCUGAGAGGGUGACCGGCCACACUGGGACUGAGAUACGGCCCAGACUCCUACGGGAGGCAGCAGUGGGGAAUAUUGCACAAUGGGCGCAAGCCUGAUGCAGCGACGCCGCGUGAGGGAUGACGGCCUUCGGGUUGUAAACCUCUUUCAAUAGGGACGAAGCGCAAGUGACGGUACCUAUAGAAGAAGCACCGGCCAACUACGUGCCAGCAGCCGCGGUAAUACGUAGGGUGCGAGCGUUGUCCGGAAUUACUGGGCGUAAAGAGCUCGUAGGUGGUUUGUCGCGUUGUUCGUGAAAACUCACAGCUUAACUGUGGGCGUGCGGGCGAUACGGGCAGACUAGAGUACUGCAGGGGAGACUGGAAUUCCUGGUGUAGCGGUGGAAUGCGCAGAUAUCAGGAGGAACACCGGUGGCGAAGGCGGGUCUCUGGGCAGUAACUGACGCUGAGGAGCGAAAGCGUGGGGAGCGAACAGGAUUAGAUACCCUGGUAGUCCACGCCGUANACGGUGGGUACUAGGUGUGGGUUCCUUCCUUGGGAUCCGUGCCGUAGCUAACGCAUUAAGUACCCCGCCUGGGGAGUACGGCCGCAAGGCUAANACUCAAAGGAAUUGACGGGGGCCCGCACAAGCGGCGG